RNAcentral lists this ribosomal RNA (1227 nucleotides) under Bacillus licheniformis. Its description in RNAcentral is "bacterial LSU rRNA". It matches the Rfam family "Bacterial large subunit ribosomal RNA", at positions 322 to 1550 of the family's 2925-position model. The record is from RNAcentral. Lineage: Bacteria; Bacillati; Bacillota; Bacilli; Caryophanales; Bacillaceae.
GAACGAGGUAGAUGAAGAGGUCUGGAAAGGCCCGCCAUAGGAGGUAACAGCCCUGUAGUCAAAACUUCGUUCUCUCCUGAGUGGAUCCUGAGUACGGCGGAACACGUGAAAUUCCGUCGGAAUCCGGGAGGACCAUCUCCCAAGGCUAAAUACUCCCUAGUGACCGAUAGUGAACCAGUACCGUGAGGGAAAGGUGAAAAGCACCCCGGAAGGGGAGUGAAAGAGAUCCUGAAACCGUGUGCCUACAAGUAGUCAGAGCCCGUUAACGGGUGAUGGCGUGCCUUUUGUAGAAUGAACCGGCGAGUUACGAUCCCGUGCAAGGUUAAGUUUGAAAAGACGGAGCCGCAGCGAAAGCGAGUCUGAAUAGGGCGCAUGAGUACGUGGUCGUAGACCCGAAACCAGGUGAUCUACCCAUGUCCAGGGUGAAGUUCAGGUAACACUGAAUGGAGGCCCGAACCCACGCACGUUGAAAAGUGCGGGGAUGAGGUGUGGGUAGGGGUGAAAUGCCAAUCGAACCUGGAGAUAGCUGGUUCUCUCCGAAAUAGCUUUAGGGCUAGCCUCAAGGUAAGAGUCUUGGAGGUAGAGCACUGAUUGGACUAGGGGCCCCUACCGGGUUACCGAAUUCAGUCAAACUCCGAAUGCCAAAGACUUAUCCUUGGGAGUCAGACUGCGAGUGAUAAGAUCCGUAGUCGAAAGGGAAACAGCCCAGACCGCCAGCUAAGGUCCCAAAGUAUACGUUAAGUGGAAAAGGAUGUGGAGUUGCUUAGACAACCAGGAUGUUGGCUUAGAAGCAGCCACCAUUUAAAGAGUGCGUAAUAGCUCACUGGUCGAGUGACUCUGCGCCGAAAAUGUACCGGGGCUAAACGUAUCACCGAAGCUGCGGACUGUUCUUGCGAACAGUGGUAGGAGAGCGUUCUAAGGGCUGUGAAGCGAGACCGGAAGGACUCGUGGAGCGCUUAGAAGUGAGAAUGCCGGUAUGAGUAGCGAAAGAGGGGUGAGAAUCCCCUCCACCGAAUGCCUAAGGUUUCCUGAGGAAGGCUCGUCCGCUCAGGGUUAGUCGGGACCUAAGCCGAGGCCGAAAGGCGUAGGCGAUGGACAACAGGUUGAUAUUCCUGUACCACCUCCUCACCAUUUGAGCAAUGGGGGGACGCAGGAGGAUAGGGCAAGCGCGGUAUUGGAUAUCCGCGUCCAAGCAGUUAGGCUGGGAAAUAGGCAAAUCCGUUUCCC